Long non-coding RNA from Mercurialis annua (annual mercury), 394 nucleotides. RefSeq lists it as uncharacterized. The record is from RefSeq and is a predicted model, not a curated record. Lineage: Eukaryota; Viridiplantae; Streptophyta; Magnoliopsida; Malpighiales; Euphorbiaceae. The transcript is spliced from 4 exons.
AUAUGAAGAUCAUGAUAAUCUGUACAUAGUUAUGGAGUAAGUUUUACAAUUUAUGAAUUGCGCGCAUUGGAUACCGAUAUGAUUUGGUAAGCCUUUAUGAUAAGUUGUUUGAUUGUGCAGGUUAUGUGAAGGAUGAGAACUUUUGGAUAGAAUACUUGCAAGAGAUAAAUCCCAUGGGACAAGUACCGGCUAUUGUUUUUGGAGAUUUUAAACUAUUUGAGAGUCAUGCAAUUUAUAUCUACCUCGCCUCUGUAUUUGGAGUUGCAGAUCACUGGUAUCCAAGUGAUCUUCAACCACAUUGGAACGCAUUGAAAUGAAGCACUGUUUACAAAUACAAACUGAUUGCAGGCCUCCAUAUUCACAUCAGAAACAAUAUAAGGCUCAGUAAGUAAAA